CCUACGGGGGGCUGCAGUGGGGAAUAUUGGACAAUGGGCGCAAGCCUGAUCCAGCCAUGCCGCGUGAGUGAUGAAGGCCCUAGGGUUGUAAAGCUCUUUUGUGCGGGAAGAUAAUGACUGUACCGCAAGAAUAAGCCCCGGCUAACUUCGUGCCAGCAGCCGCGGUAAUACGAAGGGGGCUAGCGUUGCUCGGAAUCACUGGGCGUAAAGCGCACGUAGGCGGACUCUUAAGUCGGUGGUGAAAUCCUGGAGCUCAACUCCAGAACUGCCUUCGAUACUGGGAGUCUCGAGUUCGGGAGAGGUGAGUGGAACUGCGAGUGUAGAGGUGAAAUUCGUAGAUAUUCGCAAGAACACCAGUGGCGAAGGCGGCUCACUGGCCCGAUACUGACGCUGAGGUGCGAAAGCGUGGGGAGCAAACAGGAUUAGAUACCCGUGUAGUC
RNAcentral lists this ribosomal RNA (440 nucleotides) under uncultured bacterium. RNAcentral's name for it is "partial 16S ribosomal RNA". It matches the Rfam family "Bacterial small subunit ribosomal RNA", at positions 338 to 795 of the family's 1533-position model. The record is from RNAcentral.